This 433-nucleotide ribosomal RNA is filed under the name uncultured bacterium. Its description in RNAcentral is "partial 16S ribosomal RNA". It matches the Rfam family "Bacterial small subunit ribosomal RNA", at positions 29 to 507 of the family's 1533-position model. The record is from RNAcentral.
AACGAACGCUGGCGGCAGGCUUAACACAUGCAAGUCGAACGCACCUUUCGGGGUGAGUGGCAGACGGGUGAGUAACGCGUGGGAAUCUACCCUUCUCUACGGGAUAGCUCCGGGAAACUGGAAUUAAUACCGUAUACGUCCUGAGGGAGAAAGAUUUAUCGGGGAAGGAUGAGCCCGCGUUGGAUUAGCUAGUUGGUGGGGUAAAGGCCUACCAAGGCGACGAUCCAUAGCUGGUCUAAGAGGAUGAUCAGCCACAUUGGGACUGAGACACGGCCCAAACUACUACGGGAGGCAGCAGUGGGGAAUAUUGGACAAUGGGCGCAAGCCUGAUCCAGCCAUGCCGCGUGAGUGAUGAAGGCCCUAGGGUUGUAAAGCUCUUUCAGUGGGGACGAUAAUGACGGUACCCACAGAAGAAGCCCCGGCUAACUUCGUG